This 253-nucleotide ribosomal RNA is filed under the name uncultured bacterium. RNAcentral describes it as "partial 16S ribosomal RNA". It matches the Rfam family "Bacterial small subunit ribosomal RNA", at positions 524 to 776 of the family's 1533-position model. The record is from RNAcentral.
UACGUAGGGACCAAGCGUUGUUCGGAUUUACUGGGCGUAAAGGGCGCGUAGGCGGCGUGGUAAGUCAGCUGUGAAAUCUCCGAGCUUAACUCGGAACGGUCAGCUGAUACUGCUGUGCUAGAGUACAGAAAGGGCAAUCGGAAUUCUUGGUGUAGCGGUGAAAUGCGUAGAUAUCAAGAGGAACACCUGAGGCGAAGGCGGGUUGCUAGGCUGAUACUGACGCUGAAGCGCGAAAGCUAGGGUAGCAAACGGG